UCCCUCAGGAGUUGGGACUAUGUCUUCUGGUUCCUUUAUGUUAAGUGACCCUGUAACCAUGCAAAAGAGUGGCACAGUCCCCUCCUACUGCCCCAUAUUCAACAAUUAAAAGUCCUAAUCCUUACUCAUAUGAGUGGUCCCACAGAAUGGCUGCAGGAUUGGGUCUUAAGUGACUAGAAGCCCAAAAGUCACAUCUAGAAAACAGAGGGAAGUGUAUUGAAUUGAUUUUUUCAAAAAUUCAAUUUUCUAUUGUUUAAGUGAACAUAAAGUCAUGCACAUGGCUAUCUUUCUCUUUCAGAGCUUUCCCUGAGUCAGAGUCACUGAUCAUUCCCACAAGCUAUUCUGAAUGGAAUUGUAUAUCUGUAAAGAUGUUCAAUCUCUUUGCUAACUCGUGUUAAAUCCUACAGCAUACACAUACU
Long non-coding RNA from Gopherus evgoodei (Goodes thornscrub tortoise), 419 nucleotides. RefSeq lists it as uncharacterized. The record is from RefSeq and is a predicted model, not a curated record. Lineage: Eukaryota; Metazoa; Chordata; Testudines; Testudinidae. The transcript is spliced from 3 exons.